Molecule: small nuclear RNA, 19 nt
Filed under: Arabidopsis thaliana (thale cress)
Lineage: Eukaryota; Viridiplantae; Streptophyta; Magnoliopsida; Brassicales; Brassicaceae
Description: snRNA_00957
Source: RNAcentral
ACCCCUGUUUUUGGUCCCA